Molecule: long non-coding RNA, 5426 nt
Filed under: Musa acuminata (dwarf banana)
Lineage: Eukaryota; Viridiplantae; Streptophyta; Magnoliopsida; Zingiberales; Musaceae
Description: long non-coding RNA (MACU_LNC000942)
Source: RNAcentral
CAGUUCCGUCGUAUCAUCCCAAUCAAAUACUUCUUUGCCCGCUCGUCGUUUGGGUUGGCGAUGCUGUCUUUUCUGGUGGCGUUCACCUGCAACAUCUACCUACAGAUAUAUGGCUGGCAGAAGACGAAGUCGAAGGACUUGAUUCCAUUCAUAUUGGAGCUCACCGCCUUCCCUUUCAUCUGUUUCCUGGUGUUAUUCUUUUAUGGCUCCAAGUUCGGUCUAUCUUUUCUUUUUCAUUCUUGGCGUUGAGUCAACAAGCAUGAUCGUCCACACGAAUCUGGCAGGUUCAUGAUGUACGUGGGUUGUACCUAUUACGGUAUGUCGCCUGUUCCAGUGGUAUGCGGUGGUAGAAGUCAUUGGACAGUUAAAUAUCUUGUGUGUACAAGCAGCAACAAAGGCAUGUUAUAUGUGGCCGCUAUUUGAUUGUAACUUUAAUGUGGUCUUUUCUUCUAUCUUAAAUUAGAUAAUGAUAUAGGCGCCACGGUAGACAACAAAUCUGAUCACCAAUAAUGGUGAUGGCCCAUCAAUACUGAAUAAUGGUGAUGGCCCUGCCUAUUGUUUUUGGACUAAUGUCCAUAUGACAUAGCUGUUGAUGGGAUCUUAUCCUCUCACCGUUGACUGUAUUGUCAUGUAAGAUAUGCAUGGACGUCCUUUCGUUUUCCCAGAGAUCGGCUAGAAGAUAGGAUCGAGUCUUAUUGAAUCUUCUGUGACAAUCAAGUAGUCUUUAUCGUACAAUUUUGGCCCACCAAAGUUUGCACAGGCAAACGAAAUGAUUGGCUUAUAGAAGCCGAUCGUUCAAGAAGUGAAGGACGUCAAUUUUGGAUUGAAAAAAGAUCAUUUAGCUUUUCAAAAAAGAAAAAGAAUAACCUUUAUAAAAUGGAUAGAAAACUCUCCGUGGAGGCCUUUACACCGCUCCUUAGCAGCAUCCAUGGACUGGAGUCAAUAAGAAACAUUUAAGAAAAGAUAGAAACAGACGUAUCGUUGUCCAAAGAGUGAAGAAGACAAACUAACCACAAGCAAUGCUCGUCUAUUUUAAUGACCUGUCACAAGUCUAAUACAGCCACAAAACAUUAAAAAAAAGGAAGAAGCUUGUUUAUGAGGUGCCAAAGGUUAUGGACAUCUAUCUGAUUCACGCACGGAAUGGUCACCAUCCCCGAGCACCUCUUUCGAAGCCAAUUGUUUGGUCGGCACCUUUGAUUCCUUUCUCUGUAUCUGUCCAAGUGCUGCUCGCCCUUUCUCAAGUACUUUCUAAUCCUCUAUCCAUCUCUCCAUUUUUAUUUUUCUACUUUUACUGUUAUAAUAAGUUUUUUAAAUUAUUUUUAUUACAUUAAAUUACAUAUAAGACAUCCUUAUAUAAACAUAUCAUUAUAUUGCCACGACUAUAUAGACGCUUAUUCUAUAUACAAACUAGAAAUAGACAAAAGGAUACCAAUAAAAUAAAGAGACACCGCAAUAAGAAUCGGAUUUGGUAAAGUAUUUUCCUCAAACGAGCUUGGAGGAUCGGAUAAGAGUUUUGUAAAGAGACCACUGCUCCUGAAAUGAAAACCAAUCGUCGUGCUUUCAAUUAAUAAAACCAAUCAUGCAUACCGUUUUCUAAAGUGUUCAAUGAGGAGACAACAUAAGUAAUUGUCAGUUCACGCAUAUUACUUACCGUACGCAGAAGGAGGCGUAGGUACGUCGGUCGAUGGUCACUUGAUCUCCUUCCUGGCCAUCAUAUAAAGGGAGGCCUUCAGGUGCUCAUCUAAGACCACCAAGGGUACGUGAAGGUUGAAGACGUAGCCAUGGAUCCUUCGGGAAGCCAUUCGGCCCUCGCAACAGAUAACAGUGAUGACGAGAAUAGACGACCUAGCGUCUUCGACGUGGAUCACUUUUGCACCGUGACGUCUCUGAUUCAGCAGGAGAAGUACGAGGAUCUAUUACCCCUAGCCAUGAAGAAGGAUCCUCCACUCAACCUCAUGGAGGACCCUGUGCUCAACGUCGUCAUCGAAUACAAGAAGACCGACCUCGCCAAACGGCAGAUUCAAAACAUGCCCGCGGAGAAGAAGCCCGCGGAGAAGCCCGGACCGCUGUGGUACGCUAAUUACCACGGCGACACGGCUCUCCAUGUCGCGGCCACCGUGGGUGACCUCGACGUGGCCAAGGCGUUGGUCUGGAAGAACUCAGAACUCAGAACUCGUCAGUGCACGCAACUGGAAGAACGAGACACCGCUGCACAAAGCGGCGCUGUACGGGCACGAGACGAUGUUCUGGGACCUGGUGGAAAUGGGGUCGCACGCCCCGGACGAGCGGAGGGAGGACGGCGCCACCGUGCUGCACUGUGCCAUCAUGGGCAGCGCGCCGGGUGAGUUGUAAUCAAUUCCAGGAAGCCAUAGUCAUAUAUAGCUCCUUUCUUGUUUUCCAAAAAUAUGUUUACAUAGUUGAAUUGUAAUGUAGCUUUAGCACUGAAGAUUGCCAAGACAUAUCCACCGCUGAUCACGUCGCGGAAUGAUGAUGCGGUGACUCCGAUGCAGCUGACGGUGACAAUUCCAGGGUUAUUCCGAAGCCUAACGAAUCUUGGGCCCUUAGAGGCCGUAAUUUAUAAGCGUGAGUCGUAAUGUAAUUUCUAGGAUUUACAUCACCAUAAAACAUUCACAGCAUGUAGUUAUGGUAACUAAGGCUUUGUUACAUCAAAUAAAAGCACACCAAUAUGCAUGCUAGCUCUUGAAACUUCAUGGCUGUAUACUUUGAUUGCAAUGUUGCAGUGAUUCCAUACGAAGACUCCAGCGAGCCACGUGCAGUAGAUGAAGAGACAACCAGGGUCUCGAGCGCUGUUGAAGUAUGUGCUUCCGGAUGAAUCAUUUUGUUUUGCAUGAUGGCAUUGAUAUAGUUCAUGAGGUCGAUAGCAUCUUUUCUACUACUUGUCAAUAAUAUUUAUCACAAAAUUUAAGAGCAGUUUUUUCCUCAAACUAGACAAUAUAAAGUUUGAUCUACCAUGUGUUAGAAAUUUUUGUAAUAUCAGUCGAAGUCAUUCUGGUUAGGGUUAACGAAUUACCCUUUUAGGAUAUUUCUAUUCAUCUCACACAUAUGAAUAUGGGUUUUGAAAGUCUUUCACAUAUUCACAAAGGUUUAAACUUAAUACAUGUAACUCAAUUUUUAAGUCUUUCUCUUCUUUGAAGGGUUCAAACUUUGAGUUCAUAUAUUUUUUAACUUUACGAUACGGUUCACAUAUCUACAUCUAUCCAAUGGUACGACUCAUCUACAUUCAGUGGCUGGAAUAUUAUGUAAUUUUUUUUUAGAAACGAUAAGUUUGAGCCAUAUUCUAGUUAGGGUUAAUGUAUAUUAGGUCAUACGUCAUACAUCAAUUGAAUCUAGAAACUUUGAUUAUUAUAUUAUCAAUCAAAUUUAGUAUAUGUAACUAGACUCUUUCAAUUAUUAGUAACAUGAGACUAUCCUCUUAGAAUAUUUCUUUUCAUCUCAUAUAUGAUUUGUCCCUGCACGAGUAUUAUUUCCUUGUAUUGUCUCUGACGUUGGCGUCUACAUGUACUUAAUAAGGGAGGUGCAAAAUAUAUCAAGCGAAAGGUUGUGUCUCUUCUGCCCCCCAAAACGUUUCGUUCGAAAUUCCCAUCUCACUACAGCAGUCUCUUUGACCUGCGGGAAUUGAUGUUCAUCCCAGGUACUCACUCCUACGAGCUUCUCUAUUUACAUUUCUUACCUGGAUCUUAUUGUUGGAUCACAGUACUACACUGAUUCGUGCUUCUGUUGAUGCAGCCAGAUGGGUUCAUUUGUUGCUUUUCCGCAUUCUAAAGCAAUGUAAGUCAUUGUUCGUGGAUGGAUGCAUGAUGUUUAGACAUGUUGUCCUUUUCCAAUUAAUGUUAGUGGAAUUGCAAUGCAUCAUGCAGUGUUCCCUAUGAUCGAACGUCUGGAGAAGCAAAAGAAAACCCACAAGGAAACCUUGGAACUGAUCGAGUUCUUAGCCUAUUAUCCUAGGCACAUGGAGUUCUAUUCCAAGGGAAGACGAAAAGGCAAGGAGGAAAGUCUUCUUGUUGGAGACAUCACCAGUUCUACAACAAGACAGUCUCCUCCGUCAACAGACGCUGGUGAAGGCCAAGGAGUAAAUGGAGGAGGGAACCGAGAUCAAGACUUUGAUAGGUUUGCGGAAAAGCUAUUUAUGUAUAUGUCGCACAAGGAUGCCAAUCACGAAGCAGUAGCAAAAGAGCUCAAGAAGAGCAUGAAGGAGUCGAUGGAGGAAGUGUCCGGUGAAUCCACAAUUAGAAGAUGGGACGAGCCGCCCCUGAUCUUGGGUGCACAAAUGGGUCUUCCUGAGUUCGUCAGGACGAUCUUGCUAGUAUGUUCGCAGGCAGCAGCAUACCUGGACACCAAGGGGAGAAGCGUUCUCCAAGUCGCAGUCAUGUAUCGUCGCGAGGAGAUUGUCAAGAUCAUAAUGGACAUGAGAAACAUUUUACCAUCCUGGUUAUUUUCCGAAAUCGAACCCAAAACCGGGAACACCAUCGUGCAUCUUGCUUCACGUGGAAGCCCUGAUGUAGCAAAGGAAGCGCAAGACGAACCGGAUGCAAUGCAACUGCAUUACGAUUUAGUAUGGUUUGAGGUAAAGUUGCUAAACUUUUUUGCCCCCCUCCUCAAAUUUUGACAUGCUUCUCAAAAGUAUUAUCCGUUCAAUUCUUUGACAUGCAUUCUUCGGUGUCGGUUGUGGGUUAUUCGCGCAUAAUACAAAAUAACCAACAAAUACACAAAUAAAAUCUACGUAUUCUCAGAGUUGCGUACUAAAUUUGAUCGUUUUCUGACAUUUGAAUGCAGACGGUGAGAGAUAUGGUUCCUAAGGAAUUAGUGUACAGUCGGAACGCGCAAACGAAGACCGCAGAAGAGAUGUUUACUGAGAGUCACCGAGCGAUGCUAAAGAGUUACAAGGGUCAACUAAUGGAAACGGGCAGGACGUGUUCAGGGCUUGUCGCUGCUGUAGUGUUCGCGUCGAGCUUCUCCAUCCCCGGCGAUAAGGACCCAGCGACCGGCAACCCGGUUUACUUCGGUAGGCCAGCUUUUAAGGUCUUCUCACAUGCGUACGUGAUUGGGUUGUCAUGCGCCGCCACAUCUCUGGUGUUGUUCUUAUCCCUCGCUAUGUCACCUUACAACGAGCAGCAGUUCCAUCGUAUCAUCCCAACCAAAUACUUCUUUGCCCGCUCGUCGUUUGCGAUGGCGAUGCUGUCUUUUCUGGUGGCGUUCACCUGCAACAUCUACCUACAGAUGUAUGGCUGGCAGAAGGCGAAGUCGAAGGACUUGAUUCCAUUCGUAUUGGAGCUCACCGUCUUCCCCGUCAUCUGUUUCCUGGUGUUGUUCUUUCGUGGCUCCGAUUUCGUCUUUGGGGUUGAGUCAACAAGCAUGAUCGUCCACAUCGUUGGAAUCUGCAGCUUCAUGAUGCACGUGGGUUGUAC